Molecule: long non-coding RNA, 718 nt
Organism: Bos taurus (domestic cattle)
Lineage: Eukaryota; Metazoa; Chordata; Mammalia; Artiodactyla; Bovidae
Source: Ensembl
AUUCGACAGCUAUUAACCAUAUUGAGCCUCACAGGGCUUAGCUCCCCACCCACCACUGAGGAGCUCGAUCGGAAACUACCAUUUACCCUGGGAAAAUGCCCUAGUGGCUUUUCAGAUUCUUCCAUCAAGAUGGGGCAUCUAUUUCUGUUCUUGAUUCUGAUCUUGUGACUUGUUUGGCCAAUGAAAUGUGAUAGGAGUUGUGGUGAGCCAGGAGCAAUCCUGCGCUCGAGAAGGCGUGCAUAUUUCCUUUCUCUGUCUUGGAUCCUUAUUUCCUCCAUGAAGUGUUGCCUAACCUACUGGAGGAUAAGAGACCAUGAGGAAUGCCGUCCAAUAGCCAGCUACCCAGCCUUUCCCCGGGCAGAGUUGCAGUUAACUACGGAUGCCUGAAGGAGUUCAGCUCCUUCUGAGAUCAGGAGGACCAUCCAGCUGAAUUCAGGCCUAAAUCCAACCUGCAGAACUGUGAGCUAAACAAAUGAUUAUUGUUUUUAACCACUAAAUGUCAGGAUGAUUUAGUAUGUAGAAACAGCUAACUGAUCCACAGACUGAGAGAAUAACCACUCCACACUGGACCAGAAGGACCAGAUGUAUUCAAGAAUAGUGAUAUCAUUAAAGAAGCUAAUGCGUUCUUCUGAAGGCAGUGGGGUGAGUUGGGACAAAGGCUUGAGGCUUCUUAUUGUAAACCUGGUGAAAAUACUCGAUGUGAGCUGUGGGUAUGGGU